This 279-nucleotide ribosomal RNA is filed under the name uncultured archaeon. Its description in RNAcentral is "partial 16S rRNA". It matches the Rfam family "Archaeal small subunit ribosomal RNA", at positions 1047 to 1325 of the family's 1478-position model. The record is from RNAcentral.
GAGACCCACGCCAACAGUUGCCAGCAUGUCCUCCGGGACGGUGGGGACACUGUUGGGACCGCCUCUGCUAAAGAGGAGGAAGGAAUGGGCAACGGUAGGUCAGCAUGCCCCGAAUUAUCCGGGCUACACGCGGGCUACAAUGGUCAGGACAAUGGGUAUCGACACCGAGAGGUGAAGGCAAUCUCUUAAACCUGUCCUUAGUUCGGAUUGUGGGCUGCAACUCGCCCACAUGAAGCUGGAAUCCGUAGUAAUCGCGUCUCAAAAUGGCGCGGUGAAUAU